RNAcentral lists this transfer RNA (74 nucleotides) under Perca flavescens (yellow perch). It matches the Rfam family "tRNA". Rfam says of the family: Transfer RNA (tRNA) molecules are approximately 80 nucleotides in length. Lineage: Eukaryota; Metazoa; Chordata; Actinopteri; Perciformes; Percidae. The record is from Rfam by way of RNAcentral.
GUCUCUGUGGCGCAAUAGGUCAGCGCAGUUGGCUGUUAACCGAAAGGAUGGUGGUUGAAGUCCACCCACGGAUG